UCUCCAAUUUAUGCCCAAAGAGAGGCCCUGGGCCUCAGGGCCUGAGGGGGCGCCUCCAGACACACGACAGAUGAGGAAGGUUGGGGUGUGAAACAUCCAUGUACAGCCCGGGUCUUGGUGGGGCUGGAAGACUGAAGCUGCCGGUGCAGAGCCACAGAGAAGCCGAAGAGACUACCCGGCUCGCCCUCCUUGCGCAGGGCGCCCAUCACGUCCAGAUUGAAGGCGACAGCCCGCAGGGAGAGCAGGCCGGCGAGCAGGGAACCAAGAAGAGCCCGGCAGUGACAAGGGCCAUGGUAGCCACAUCAACAGCACUCAGAGGAACAGAGGGCAAGAAGAGAAAGAAAAAUCCAGCAGGUCCGAGGAGGAGAACAAAGGAAGCAGAUAGAAAAGAGAGAAAAGAGAUGGAAAAAGAAGGGCAUGGGUUAGAUCGACAAGGGAUGGGAUGAACGGAGAAGAAAGAGAAAGUCUGAGAAUGAUAUAGGAAGAGAAAAUCAAGCUGGGGGAAUGGGGGCCGAAGAAAGGCAAAGAUGAGCCACAGAGACAGAGGGAUGGGAAGGAUGUCGCCUGCUCCCAGGCCCUCUCGGGACUGCGCAUUUCCCACUCGCCAAAGAGGAGGGCUUGUGGGGAACAGACCCUGGGCUGGCCCAGGCAGAAUGUUGGUGGCACUUUGCAGGGAUCUAUCUCUACAGGGACCCCCAGGCCUGUCCCUCUUCCUCUCCUCCCCAGCCACCGCCCCCCAUCCACACUCCCGCUGUAACAGAAGCAAAGGGAGGGGGGACAUUUUCCAACUCUCUGCUAUUUAUAACUCCAGUCCAGAAAUGUGGCCUAAGGAGAGAUAGGGAUUAAUUUGACACAAGGGGACCUCGCUGGCUCCUCCUCCCUUCCUAGUACUCUAUCCUAAAGAGUGUCUGUCUUGUGGACCUCCAUCUGUCCGUCUUUCCCUUCCCUAUCAGGUUUUGUCUCAUCCCAAACUCUCAUUUUGUCCCCGUUCUUGUCUCUAUCACUUCAACUCUUUCUCAGAUUAUUUCUCCAUGUCUCUAAUGUUGUCUCUGCAUCCUCAAACACUGCCAUAUUCUUAAGAUUCCCUCUUCUCCCUCCCUUUCUUGAAAGCCUCAAUAAGUGUCCUACCCAGUUCCUCAUCCCAUACUCCCUUUGUCUCUCACACUUCUUUGUCCAAGAUUAUAUUUUUAAAACAAGCAAGCAAAUCAGAUGAGCUCGCUUUGUGAUAUAACCCAGGGACAGUCCUUUCCCUGAGUAAGUUACUAUACAUUUGAAGGUUGGGCCUCCAUUUUUGUAACUUUACCCUUGUGGACAUCCCCUCCAGGGGACUAAGGUACCUCUAACAGGUGCUAUGAAGGAAACACACGUGCUGUCAGCAUGCUGCCACCAGGACUCUACUUUUGUUAUCUCCCAGAUAAUUUUCUAUCUCAAGCCCCAGAUGAUAGAGCUGACUAGAAUACAGAGUAGCCAAGUCAGUAUAGAAUCCAGGACUCCCGACUCCAGCCCAGACCUCCCGCCAGCGUCAAAUGCCUGAGAGCCCAGCUGUCUGCCUCUCUGCACCUGCAGCUUUUGCCUCCCUUCAUCUUCCCUCCACUGUUUCCUGCUAAAUCCGAGGCUGAAAUCAGAUGCCAAGAGUCUGCUUCUGACCUCCUCUGCCCAAAUAUUUGAGAAGUCACCUUGCCCACCACAAGAGAAUGGAGUAGGAAAGAAGAAGAGAGAGGCUGCCCAAAAUUAGCUUGGCUAUAAAUAGUGGGGCAAGGGAGGGCACGGAACAGCAGAGCCCUAGCCCAGCCUGUAAAUUUAGAUAUGUAGACUUUCUCUAAAGAAGUGGGACCAGAUUGUUGGAUGGAAGGGCGAUAUUGUAGGUGGAGGAGGGGAUGACGAAGCUGCAUGGAUUCAUAGAAUGGAGGAAGCUCAGCAUUAGAAUAAACAACCUGCCAGAGAACUUCUUGUAUUUGAGCCAAGAGUUGGGAUUCAUUACAUUAAAAACAAUGCUGACACUAUAUCGUUCCACUCAUAUAAUACUCUCAAAACAACAAAACUGUUGAGAUGAAAAACAAAUAUGAUUGCCAGGGGGCAGGGAUGAGGAAGGUGAAUAUAAAGACAGCCAGAAAGUUCCAUUUGGGUGAUAGAGUUUGGGUGGUAGUUAUUCAAAACUACACGGGAUGAAAUUCAAUAAAAGUGCCCACACAUACACACACACACACACACACACACACACACACACACACACACACACACACACACACACAAAUGACUGCUUGUAAAGCUCUGAUGAAGAUGAAUAAGGCCUGUAAGCUAGGUAAUAGUAUUGGACCCCCAACAGCUUGCUGGUGUUGAAGUGUGAGAAGUUAUGGCCACUGAGGAAAGCUGGGUGAAAGGUAUACAGGACUUUGUGUACUGUUGUGCAACAUCCUCUGAGUCUAUAAUAUUUCAAAAUAAUUCUAAAAAUUGAUAAAUGUCCAGGCCCAGCAAAGACUUCAGCCCUUGUCUGAGUGGAAGCUGAGGCUUUCUCCAGCUCCUUCCCCUCCUAACAACCUUCUCCCCUCCUUCUGGGAUCCCUAUUUUUCAGCACU
Molecule: long non-coding RNA, 2576 nt
Organism: Manis pentadactyla (Chinese pangolin)
Lineage: Eukaryota; Metazoa; Chordata; Mammalia; Pholidota; Manidae
Exons: 3
Source: RefSeq, a predicted model, not a curated record